Molecule: long non-coding RNA, 1321 nt
Organism: Dama dama (fallow deer)
Lineage: Eukaryota; Metazoa; Chordata; Mammalia; Artiodactyla; Cervidae
Exons: 4
Source: RefSeq, a predicted model, not a curated record
CCAGCUCAAUUUAAGUGUAUCUGCUCGGUAUCUGUUCAAGUGGAGAUAAUCCAUGCAAAUCAGGAGCAGUGCCUUUCAAUGCCUGGUUCACAGAGAGGACUCCGCUUGAGGAGGUCACUCGUUCACGGCCGCUCCUCCCAUUAUAUUUUUCCCCUUAUUGCAGAACUGCUGUAUGUACACAGUGACUGAAAGGACUCAAUUUACUGCAACUGCUGCCUGGCUUUACUUACAACUUUUUUUUAUAAAGGAACUUACCUCCAUCUGUCUUUUCAAGCUCUGGAGGUUGGAAUGUCAAAGAUGAAGCGGCUGGCAGUUUUCAUUCUUGUGAGAGAGAUUCAGAAAAGACCUGGUUUGACUUUCAAACCCACGUUGCCAAUGAAAACCAGCCUCCUGAAUCCGAAGCACCAGAGUAGGGUCAUUCUCCUGCUCACUGGUAUAUCUACAACUCAAAUACAAGUGCAAAUAAAAGGAGAGGAUAAAGAAGACACCCACCACCCUGAAGAGAAACACAAAAGAACAUAGAUUUAUAUUGAUUAGCAGCUCUAGAUAUCUGAUGAGUAAGUGGUUUUAACAAAUUGACCAAAAUAAAUAUUUUGAAUCUGAAAAUAUAUCCUGAAACACAGAGGCUGCAUAGGUUAGGCAGCUCAGACAGACCCAGAAUAUAGCUCUGAAAUUCAGAGGAUUUUUCUUUUUAUGGCACAUUAGGUAGCUGCGAGGCUAUGAAACAUGAAUUUGGAUGCCAAAUGAAUAACACGUUUGAAGGAGGAGCACAGAGUGACUUUAAACAUCUGUGAAGUGAAAAUAUCCCUGAACCAAAGCAUGCUACUGUGUUGAAAACAAUUACUGUUACAGAUCAUUUUCUUGCUUUAGAUAAAGUAUAUCUCUUCUCAAGGGAGCAGGUGUACUGAUGGCUUUGUGAAUCGUCAUUCAUCAAAUCACAAAUGGACAUGCACACCCCUUUUCCGGUAAAUCCACACAAACAAAAAUCACAGCUUCUUAACAUCACAGAGAAGAAAACCUGUGAUUUGUUACCAAGGAAGGAUACAUUUUACUUCUCCACUUCUCCAGGAUUUGUAGUAGUUAUCUGAAAUCAAGUGAACAGAGACACUCUGAAAAUCUGCCCCAAUACCCCUUGCCUUUGGGAUAUUAAUGACUACAAGAUGUUGAAUGCAUAUUUGAACAGUAAGAAGAACCUGCUUCCCAAAGGGGAAAAAAAAAUUGGAAACAGACUCAGAGGAACAGUAAGUUAGUAGCCAGGUCUAAAAAGCUCUGGACAUCAGCACGUCCCAAAGCUUAGGGUAUUAAAGGAGCUCUAUAUCAA